UAGAGGUGGGCUGGCCUAGGACUGUACACUUCUCUAGGAGCUGGGCUUAACUAAAACAGAAGAGAUUGCGGUUAGACAUCAAGAGGAACUCAGACCCGUGGGAAAGAACCAGGACCUGAGGCAAAGGCGAGAUUUGGGUGGUGGACGGGGGACAGGGAGACUCUUCACAGUCCUCACAGGACCUACACAGGGGCCUAUGGUCUCAGACCUGGGAUCAUGUUCCUGAGGGGGUAUAAGAGAGAGGGGCAGGUCAGGAAGCAUAGGAAGUCCCAAGUCUCCAGCCGUAUUUGAUUCCACUAUAUCUUGACGUCUCAGGAGUGAGGGCAAGAGGGGUCUCAGAGCAAAUCCAGAUCCUUUGAGAGCUUCUGUCAAGCUGGGAAGUCUGGAGCAGUGUGGGGGGUGAGGAGGUGGGGUGCGUUGCGAAGCAGACCCUUCCCGUGGUGCACUUGGACCCUGCGGGCAGGCAGCUUCAUUUGAGCAGGUGUCUGCACAGAGAUACCUGUGCAGCCCCUGCUGAGCCUGCAGGCUCCACUCAGCCCAAGUCUUCGUUGUCCUCUGGCCGCCAGGGCUGUCAGUGUUCUUUCCUCUCUUGCUCUGCUUUUGCUCCUGGCUCUGACAGUGUUGAGUGCCACAAAAGGACAAAAGUCCUGAAGGUCAACCUGGGGACCCGAUCCAGUAGGGUCUCUUCUCUGCCCUGCGACUGCCCUGUUCCCAUUGCUUCAGAAUCCU
RNAcentral lists this long non-coding RNA (729 nucleotides) under Rattus norvegicus (Norway rat). Its description in RNAcentral is "long non-coding RNA NONRATT017909". Lineage: Eukaryota; Metazoa; Chordata; Mammalia; Rodentia; Muridae. The record is from RNAcentral.